GGGGCCCUCACGGAAUCAUCUCGACAGGCGAAAGCCUGACGCAGCAACGCCGCGUGAGUGAUGAAGGCCCUCGGGUCGUAAAGCUCUGUCAGAGGGGAAGAACCUCCAAUCGGUUAAUAUCCGGUUGGCCUGACGGUACCCUCAAAGGAAGCACCGGCUAACUCCGUGCCAGCAGCCGCGGUAAUACGGAGGGUGCAAGCGUUGUUCGGAAUUAUUGGGCGUAAAGCGCGUGUAGGCGGCUGUUUAAGUCUGAUGUGAAAGCCCUGGGCUCAACCCGGGAAAGUGCAUUGGAAACUGGACAGCUUGAAUACGGGAGAGGGAAGUGGAAUUUCGAGUGUAGGGGUGAAAUCCGUAGAUAUUCGAAGGAACACCGGUGGCGAAGGCGGCUUCCUGGACCGAUAUUGACGCUGAGACGCGAAAGCGUGGGGAGCAAACAGGAUUAGAUACCCUGGUAGUCCACGCCGUAAACGAU
Molecule: ribosomal RNA, 472 nt
Filed under: uncultured prokaryote
Description: bacterial SSU rRNA
Rfam family: Bacterial small subunit ribosomal RNA
Source: RNAcentral